AUUGAACGCUGGCGGCAUGCUUUACACAUGCAAGUCGAACGGUAACAGGCCUUCGGGUGCUGGCGAGUGGCGAACGGGUGAGUAAUGCAUCGGAACGUGCCCAGAGGUGGGGGAUAAAGCAGCGAAAGCUGUGCUAAUACCGCAUGUGAUCUGAGGAUGAAAGCGGGGGACCAGGCAGCAAUGUUUGGCCUCGCGCCUUUGGAGCGGCCGAUGUCAGAUUAGGUAGUUGGUGGGGUAAAGGCCUACCAAGCCGACGAUCUGUAGCUGGUCUGAGAGGACGACCAGCCACACUGGGACUGAGACACGGCCCAGACUCCUACGGGAGGCAGCAGUGGGGAAUUUUGGACAAUGGGCGCAAGCCUGAUCCAGCAAUGCCGCGUGCGGGAAGAAGGCCUUCGGGUUGUAAACCGCUUUUGUACGGAACGAAAAGGCUCUGGCUAAUACCUGGGGCUGAUGACGGUACCGUAAGAAUAAGCACCGGCUAACUACGUG
RNAcentral lists this ribosomal RNA (492 nucleotides) under uncultured bacterium. Its description in RNAcentral is "partial 16S ribosomal RNA". It matches the Rfam family "Bacterial small subunit ribosomal RNA", at positions 30 to 507 of the family's 1533-position model. The record is from RNAcentral.